Molecule: unclassified non-coding RNA, 378 nt
Filed under: Hevea brasiliensis (rubber tree)
Lineage: Eukaryota; Viridiplantae; Streptophyta; Magnoliopsida; Malpighiales; Euphorbiaceae
Source: RNAcentral
GUCCUUUUCUUCAUUGGAACAAGAAUUUAUGUGCAUGUAAAGCCAGAGGGAAGCAUUUUUUCUAGCAUUGCUCAGGUGUUUGUUGCUGCUUAUAGAAAGAGAGGGCUUAAGCUUCCUGAUGAUGGAGUCGUGGAGGUUGAAGGGGUCUUUUAUGAUCCUCCGGUGAAGGAGACUGUAUUGUCUAAGCUCCCUCUCACAAAUCAGUUCAGGUUCUUAAACAAGGCAGUCAUGAUAGAGAAAGACGACCUAAACCCUGAUGGUUCUUGUGCAAAUCAAUGGAGGCUCUGCAGUAUCCAACAGAUAGAAGAGGUGAAGUGUCUGUUCAAAAUUAGUCCAAUAUGGGCUUCUGGUAUUAUUAGCCUCACUUCCAUGUCACAG